UCGGGAAUUUUGGGCAAUGGGGGAAACCCUGACCCAGCAACGCCGCGUGAAGGAUGAAGUAUUUCGGUAUGUAAACUUCGAAAGAAUAGGAAGAAUAAAUGACGGUACUAUUUUAUAAGGUCCGGCUAACUACGUGCCAGCAGCCGCGGUAAUACGUAGGGACCAAGCGUUGUUCGGAUUUACUGGGCGUAAAGGGCGCGUAGGCGGCAUGACAAGUCACUUGUGAAAUCUCUGGGCUUAACCCAGAACGGCCAAGUGAUACUGUCGCGCUAGAGUGCAGAAGGGGCAAUCGGAAUUCUUGGUGUAGCGGUGAAAUGCGUAGAUAUCAAGAGGAACACCUGAGGUGAAGACGGGUUGCUGGGCUGACACUGACGCUGAGGCGCGAAAGCCAGGGGAGCAAACGGGAUUAGAUACCCAUGUAGUCCCUGAGCGGGCUGGCAAGGCGCAU
This 448-nucleotide ribosomal RNA is filed under the name uncultured bacterium. RNAcentral's name for it is "bacterial SSU rRNA". It matches the Rfam family "Bacterial small subunit ribosomal RNA", at positions 355 to 825 of the family's 1533-position model. The record is from RNAcentral.